CGCUGGCGGCGCGCCUAACACAUGCAAGUCGAACGAGCGAGAGAGAGCUUGCUUUCUCAAGCGAGUGGCGAACGGGUGAGUAACGCGUGAGGAACCUGCCUCAAAGAGGGGGACAACAGUUGGAAACGACUGCUAAUACCGCAUAAGCCCACAGCUCGGCAUCGAGCAGAGGGAAAAGGAGCAAUCCGCUUUGAGAUGGCCUCGCGUCCGAUUAGCUAGUUGGUGAGGUAACGGCCCACCAAGGCGACGAUCGGUAGCCGGACUGAGAGGUUGAACGGCCACAUUGGGACUGAGACACGGCCCAGACUCCUACGGGAGGCAGCAGUGGGGAAUAUUGCACAAUGGGGGAAACCCUGAUGCAGCGACGCCGCGUGGAGGAAGAAGGUCUUCGGAUUGUAAACUCCUGUUGUUGAGGAAGAUAAUGACGGUACUCAACAAGGAAGUGACGGCUAACUACGUGCCAGCAGCCGCGGUAAAACGUAGGUCACAAGCGUUGUCCGGAAUUACUGGGUGUAAAGGGAGCGCAGGCGGGAAGACAAGUUGGAAGUGAAAUCCAUGGGCUCAACCCAUGAACUGCUUUCAAAACUGUUUUUCUUGAGUAGUGCAGAGGUAGGCGGAAUUCCCGGUGUAGCGGUGGAAUGCGUAGAUAUCGGGAGGAACACCAGUGGCGAAGGCGGCCUACUGGGCACCAACUGACGCUGAGGCUCGAAAGUGUGGGUAGCAAACAGGAUUAGAUACCCUGGUAGUCCACACUGUAAACGAUGAUUACUAGGUGUUGGAGGAUUGACCCCUUCAGUGCCGCAGUUAACACAAUAAGUAAUCCACCUGGGGAGUACGACCGCAAGGUUGAAACUCAAAGGAAUUGACGGGGGCCCGCACAAGCAGUGGAGUAUGUGGUUUAAUUCGACGCAACGCGAAGAACCUUACCAAGUCUUGACAUCCCUUGACGAUGCUGGAAACAGUAUUUCUCUUCGGAGCAAGGAGACAGGUGGUGCAUGGUUGUCGUCAGCUCGUGUCGUGAGAUGUUGGGUUAAGUCCCGCAACGAGCGCAACCCUUAUGGUCAGUUACUACGCAAGAGGACUCUGGCCAGACUGCCGUUGACAAAACGGAGGAAGGUGGGGAUGACGUCAAAUCAUCAUGCCCUUUAUGACUUGGACUACACACGUACUACAAUGGCGUUAAACAAAGAGAAGCAAGACCGCGAGGUGGAGCAAAACUCAGAAACAACGUCCCAGUUCGGACUGCAGGCUGCAACUCGCCUGCACGAAGUCGGAAUUGCUAGUAAUCGCAGAUCAGCAUGCUGCGGUGAAUACGUUCCCGGGCCUUGUACACACCGCCCG
Molecule: ribosomal RNA, 1341 nt
Filed under: uncultured bacterium
Lineage: Bacteria
Description: bacterial SSU rRNA
Rfam family: Bacterial small subunit ribosomal RNA
Source: RNAcentral